This 200-nucleotide unclassified non-coding RNA is filed under the name Pleosporales sp. Its description in RNAcentral is "partial contains internal transcribed spacer 2 and large subunit ribosomal RNA". Lineage: Eukaryota; Fungi; Ascomycota; Dothideomycetes; Pleosporales. RNAcentral also lists the same sequence under 1 other name. The record is from RNAcentral.
CGUCAUUUGUACCCUCCAGCCUUGCUGGGUGCUGGGUGUUUGUUCCGCUGCGCGCGUGAACUCGCCUUAAAUACAUUGGCAGCCAGCGUCCCGCGUGGGAGCGCAGCACAUUUUGCGCUCUCCGCUGUGUUCGGCGGCGUCCACAAGCCUAUACCUUUACGCUUGACCUCGGAUCAGGUAGGGAUACCCGCUGAACUUAA